GAAGAUGCUGGAGACUUUGUUGCAAGAAAGGAUGGCUUUAGGUCAUGUUGCUGAGGCCUGAUCUUAAAGAUCUAAUUGCUAUUGGAAGAGAAUCCUGUUUCCCAACUGGGCCUCCCCUCUGGAGAUGGAGCAAGGAAGACUGUCCAACUCUGCUCUGGGCACCCUGCUGAUGGAUGAGGUGUCAGGCCAGUCGUCAUGUGAGGACUGGUUUCCAAAUGAUGAGAAAACUGAGGCUCUGAGAGAUGACAUCAUAAAGCCUUGUAAGACCCAGUUGUUGUGCUCCACCUUCAUACCUUCACCUAUGUUAGAACUUCUGAGAAGCUGAAGCAUCACAUAUAAGAAGCCAAGACCAUCCUCAAGGAGUUUAAUGAAUGUGACAUCACAAGAAAAAUAUGCAUCAACAUUGAAAAGCAAAGCCUUCCAGCCAGUUCAAUGGUGGGAGUCUCCCCCUGCUCUUCCUGCACAAUCAUUUCCCAUUGAGGAAGAAUGUGAAAAUGACGCACAGGCGAGGGAGGCAUACUAUAAGACCGCUUCUUACCUUUCGUUUCCUGGAGCCAAUAUGAAUGAAGACCCAGAGAG
Molecule: non-coding RNA, 579 nt
Filed under: Pan troglodytes (chimpanzee)
Lineage: Eukaryota; Metazoa; Chordata; Mammalia; Primates; Hominidae
Source: RNAcentral